GCCUCUCUUGCACAAUCUCUCAAAAGAUUCAUAUCCCUAUGGUUUGUCACAAUAAAAGCAUUGAGCAACCUCCCAAUGGCAUUUUCAACAGCAGGAGCCCAUGUAUCACCAUUGACCAGUGUCAGGUGGGCACCAAUUGGACCUAUAGGCGGCUUAUUGAACUUAUGGUGAAAUCUUUCAAUAAUAUGAAGAAGAUGAAUCACCUUAUCUCCCCCAAAGGCUGUAACCUUGUUAGUUUUGUGUUGCCGGAGCUGUUGAAUGGUUCCACGAAUCUCACGUUCCUCUUUUUCAUAAUUUUGAAUCUCUUCGCUUAUCUUUCUGAUUUCAU
RNAcentral lists this unclassified non-coding RNA (328 nucleotides) under Hevea brasiliensis (rubber tree). The record is from RNAcentral. Lineage: Eukaryota; Viridiplantae; Streptophyta; Magnoliopsida; Malpighiales; Euphorbiaceae.